This 75-nucleotide transfer RNA is filed under the name Campylobacteraceae bacterium. RNAcentral's name for it is "tRNA-Cys". It matches the Rfam family "tRNA". From Rfam's summary of the family: Transfer RNA (tRNA) molecules are approximately 80 nucleotides in length. Their secondary structure includes four short double-helical elements and three loops (D, anti-codon, and T loops). The record is from RNAcentral. Lineage: Bacteria; Pseudomonadati; Campylobacterota; Epsilonproteobacteria; Campylobacterales; Campylobacteraceae.
GGCGACAUGGCCAAGUGGCUAAGGCUGGAGCCUGCAAAGCUCCCAUCCUCGGUUCGAAUCCGAGUGUCGCCUCCA